GGGCCAUUAGCUCAGCGGUUAGAGCAGAGGACUCAUAAUCCUUUGGUCCCCGGUUCAAAUCCAGGAUGGCCCA
Molecule: transfer RNA, 73 nt
Filed under: Treponema bryantii
Lineage: Bacteria; Pseudomonadati; Spirochaetota; Spirochaetia; Treponematales; Treponemataceae
Also listed under: 5 other names
Description: tRNA-Met
Rfam family: tRNA
About the family: Transfer RNA (tRNA) molecules are approximately 80 nucleotides in length. Their secondary structure includes four short double-helical elements and three loops (D, anti-codon, and T loops).
Source: RNAcentral